RNAcentral lists this ribosomal RNA (449 nucleotides) under uncultured bacterium. RNAcentral describes it as "partial 16S ribosomal RNA". It matches the Rfam family "Bacterial small subunit ribosomal RNA", at positions 29 to 523 of the family's 1533-position model. The record is from RNAcentral.
AACGAACGCUGGCGGCAGGCUUAACACAUGCAAGUCGAACGAGAUCUUCGGAUCUAGUGGCAGACGGGUGAGGAACACGUGGGAACAUCCCUUUCAGUUCGGAAUAACGUUGGGAAACUAACGCUAAUACCGGAUACGUCCUUCGGGAGAAAGAUUUAUCGCUGAAAGAUUGGCCCGCGUCUGAUUAGCUAGUUGGUCAGGUAACGGCUCACAAAGGCUACGAUCAGUAGCUGAUCUGAGAGGAUGAUCAGCCACAUUGGGACUGAGACACGGCCCAAACUCCUACGGGAGGCAGCAGUGGGGAAUAUUGGACAAUGGGCGCAAGCCUGAUCCAGCCAUGCCGCGUGAGUGAUGACGGCCUUCGGGUUGUAAAGCUCUUUUGUCCGGGAAGAUAAUGACUGUACCGGAAGAAUAAGCCCCGGCAAACUUCGUGCCAGCAGCCGCCGUAA